RNAcentral lists this long non-coding RNA (744 nucleotides) under Setaria italica (foxtail millet). RNAcentral describes it as "long non-coding RNA (SITA_LNC007370)". Lineage: Eukaryota; Viridiplantae; Streptophyta; Magnoliopsida; Poales; Poaceae. The record is from RNAcentral.
GCGCCCUGCACGGCCAUCAGGGACGGGUAGCUCUCGGAGCGCUCGGCGCCGACGACGCGCCAGAGGCACCGCUGCGCCAUGGCGUAGGUCGACCACCACACGGCGUUGGACGGCGCGUAGGUCAGGAUGGAGAGGCCGAACCCGCGGUACAGCCCGCGGACGCCGUCGGCGAGGAGGAUCUUCCUGAAGGCAUCCGCGCCGCCGCGGUAGCGGCAGGUGGCGGAGGUCUGGACCAUCAGCCGCUGGCUGAUGACGUCCACGGGGGUCCACACGACCUGCGCGGCGACGGCGGCGGAGACGCCCGCGGCGGCUGAGGCGACCGCCGACGCGGCGGGCUCGGAGACGCCGAGCCGGACGGCGGCGGAUCCGACCGAGCUCUUGGUGGCCUCGAGCGCCGCCAUGUAGAGCGCGCGCGCUGGCACCGUGCCGGCCAGCGACGCGCCGAACCCGCGGUAGAACCCUCUGAGGCCGUCGCGCCGGAGGAUGGCGGCGGCGGUCGCGGUAGCCGCCGCGGGCGGCGGCGCCACCUGCAGGUGCGUCUUGACCACCACGGCCGGGUACAGCGCCGCGGACACGCCCGAGAAGAGCGCCGCGCCGAGGACGAAGAACCGCGACUUGUCGAGCAUCUCCCAGUUCACCUCCGCCGGCAGCCGCCGGAUCUCUUCCGCCGCUGCCGCCGCGGCCGCAGCGCCGCUCUCCUCCUCCAUAUCCACGGCGCUGAAGCUCAUCGUUUCCUCCACAGCU